GGGGGUGUGGUUUAGUGGUAUAAUUCCUCUUUAGCACUGGUCACCCGACCACGCAUAGAGGCGGUCCGGCGUUCGAUUCGCCGCUCCUCCA
RNAcentral lists this transfer RNA (91 nucleotides) under Sphaerosporella brunnea. RNAcentral's name for it is "tRNA-Ala". The record is from RNAcentral. Lineage: Eukaryota; Fungi; Ascomycota; Pezizomycetes; Pezizales; Pyronemataceae.